GAAAAAGGAAAAUAGACUCCCAACAGGAAUCACAAAGAGAAUUACGCCAAAAACAAAAGGGAUAAAGCAACCCAAACUCCAGACUCCCACAUGGUCCAGAAACAUGCACCAAAACCAUGCAUGCAAGAAGACAUGCAAAAAUAUGAGAGAAAUAGAAAAAACCCUAUUUCAUGAAAAAACCACGACAGUGAGACGUAAAGAAGUUAAACAAUAAACAAAAAAAGGUCGGCCACUGUGGG
RNAcentral lists this long non-coding RNA (239 nucleotides) under Gossypium barbadense (sea-island cotton). Its description in RNAcentral is "long non-coding RNA (GBAR_LNC022523)". Lineage: Eukaryota; Viridiplantae; Streptophyta; Magnoliopsida; Malvales; Malvaceae. The record is from RNAcentral.